Etheostoma spectabile (orangethroat darter) is the source of this 491-nucleotide long non-coding RNA. RefSeq lists it as uncharacterized. The transcript has 3 exons. The record is from RefSeq and is a predicted model, not a curated record. Lineage: Eukaryota; Metazoa; Chordata; Actinopteri; Perciformes; Percidae.
GCGUUUUCCUGUCUGUGCUGUUGGGGGCUCGGGCCUGCUGCCUUUACUCACCGAGAGACCAGGAAAUACUGCUUCACUUCUCCAAGGGUCAACUCUGACCACUGAGGUGAGAGGAUCUCUCCUUCUGCCAGGCAUCGUGGCGAUAAAGCCCUACUCUUAUCCUCCAAAGGCUCAUCAGAUAUGAACUGGCUGAGGGAGAAUCCUAUCCUCCCAGGGCCUAUGAUGGAAGGAAAUAUCAGUAGUUCAGAAUACAUAUAGUUGCUGUUAACAUUUGAGACUGUGGGGAUUUGGAGCGCUUUGUGUACUGUAUGCAAAGGAAAUACUUUCUAGCUAAACACUGUGUUCUCAACAUCUGCUUCUCAGAGUUCAGUGAUAUCAUAUUAGCACGAUCAAAGAUGGUUGUGAAGCGCUUUAUUGAAGGAGCAGUUUGCGGUUAAGUGAUGCCUACAGUGAGCUACUUUUCAUUAGUACCAACCCUAACACCCGGGGGA